ACACGUGGACAACUACCCUGUGGAGGGGGAUAACCCCGGAAAACUGUGGAUAAUACCCCGUAGGUUAGGGAGGCUGGAAUGCCCCCUAGCUCAAAGGUCCGCCGCCACAGGAUGGGUCUGCGGCUGAUUACGUUGUUGUAGGGGUAACGGCCCAACAAGCCUUUGAUCGGUACGGGUUGUGGGAGCAAGAGCCCGGAGAUGGAUUCUGAGACACGAAUCCUUUUCCUACGGGGCGCAGCAGGCGCGAAAACUUUACAAUGCGAGAAAUCGUGAUAAGGGAACCCCGAGUGCCCGUAAAUUCGGGCUGUCCGACAGUGCAAAAAACUGGUGAAGAAAGAGCCGGGCAAGACCGGUGCCAGCCGCCGCGGUACUACCGGCGGCUCGAGUGGUGGACACUAUUACUGGGCUUAAAGCGU
RNAcentral lists this ribosomal RNA (416 nucleotides) under uncultured Methanomicrobiales archaeon. RNAcentral's name for it is "bacterial SSU rRNA". It matches the Rfam family "Archaeal small subunit ribosomal RNA", at positions 96 to 518 of the family's 1478-position model. Lineage: Archaea; Methanobacteriati; Methanobacteriota; Methanomicrobia; Methanomicrobiales. The record is from RNAcentral.